GACGAACGCUGGCGGCGUGCUUAACACAUGCAAGUCGAACGGAAAGGCCCUGCUUUUGUGGGGUGCUCGAGUGGCGAACGGGUGAGUAACACGUGAGUAACCUGCCCUUGACUUUGGGAUAACUUCAGGAAACUGGGGCUAAUACCGGAUAGGAGCUCCUGCUGCAUGGUGGGGGUUGGAAAGUUUCGGCGGUUGGGGAUGGACUCGCGGCUUAUCAGCUUGUUGGUGGGGUAGUGGCUUACCAAGGCUUUGACGGGUAGCCGGCCUGAGAGGGUGACCGGCCACAUUGGGACUGAGAUACGGCCCAGACUCCUACGGGAGGCAGCAGUGGGGAAUAUUGCACAAUGGGCGGCAGCCUGAUGCAGCAACGCCGCGUGCGGGAUGACGGCCUUCGGGUUGUAUACCGCUUUCGCCUGUGACGAAGCGUGCGUGACGGUACUGGGUAAAGAAGCACCGGCUAACUACGUG
Molecule: ribosomal RNA, 468 nt
Filed under: uncultured bacterium
Lineage: Bacteria
Description: partial 16S ribosomal RNA
Rfam family: Bacterial small subunit ribosomal RNA
Source: RNAcentral